GAUCAUGGCUCAGGGUGAACGCUAGCGACAGGCUUAACACAUGCAAGUCGAGGGGCAGCAUGAGGUAGCAAUACCUUGAUGGCGACCGGCGCACGGGUGAGUAACGCGUAUGCAACCUGCCCGAUACCGGGGUAUAGCCCAUGGAAACGUGGAUUAACACCCCAUAGUACUUUUAUCCUGCAUGGGAUGUGGGUUAAAUGUUCAAGGUAUCGGAUGGGCAUGCGUCCUAUUAGUUAGUUGGG
RNAcentral lists this ribosomal RNA (242 nucleotides) under uncultured bacterium. RNAcentral's name for it is "partial 16S ribosomal RNA". It matches the Rfam family "Bacterial small subunit ribosomal RNA", at positions 15 to 253 of the family's 1533-position model. The record is from RNAcentral.